This 460-nucleotide ribosomal RNA is filed under the name uncultured bacterium. RNAcentral's name for it is "partial 16S ribosomal RNA". It matches the Rfam family "Bacterial small subunit ribosomal RNA", at positions 338 to 795 of the family's 1533-position model. The record is from RNAcentral.
CCUACGGGAGGCAGCAGUGAGGAAUAUUGGUCAAUGGACGAGAGUCUGAACCAGCCAAGUAGCGUGAAGGAUGACUGCCCUAUGGGUUGUAAACUUCUUUUAUAUGGGAAUAAAAUAUUCCACGUGAGGGAUUUUGUAUGUACCAUAUGAAUAAGGAUCGGCUAACUCCGUGCCAGCAGCCGCGGUCAUACGGAGGAUCCGAGCGUUAGCCGGAUUUCUUGGGUUUAAAGGGAGCGUAGGUGGAUUGUUAAGUCAGUUGUGAAAGUUUGCGGCUCAACCGUAAAAUUGCAGUUGAAACUGGCAGGCAUGAGUACAGUAGAGCUGGGCGGAAUUCGUGGUGUAGAGGUGACAUGCUUAGAUAUCACGAAGAACUCCGAUUGCGAAGGCAGUUCACUGGACUGCAACUGACACUGAGGCUCGAAAGUGUGGGUAUCAAACAGGAUUAGAUACCCGAGUAGUC